GUAGGUGGCAAGCGUUGUCCGGAAUUAUUGGGCGUAAAGCGCGCGCAGGCGGUUCUUUAAGUCUGAUGUGAAAGCCCACGGCUCAACCGUGGAGGGUCAUUGGAAACUGGAGAUCUUGAGUACAGAAGAGGAAAGCGGAAUUCCACGUGUAGCGGUGAAAUGCGUAGAGAUGUGGAGGAACACCAGUGGCGAAGGCGGCUUUCUGGUCUGUAACUGACGCUGAGGCGCGAAAGCGUGGGGGGAGCAAACAGGAUUAGAUACCCUGGUAGUCCACGCCGUAAACGAUGAGUGCUAAGUGUUAGGGGGUUUCCGCCCCCCCCUUAGUGCUGCAGCUAACGCAUUAAGCACUCCGCCUGGGAGUACGGCCGCAAGGCUG
Molecule: ribosomal RNA, 376 nt
Filed under: uncultured organism
Description: partial 16S ribosomal RNA
Rfam family: Bacterial small subunit ribosomal RNA
Source: RNAcentral